CAGAGGAUUUGAUCUGCUUGGAGGCUUCCCGUUGGCGAGUGGGCCUGGAAGGUUUGAUGAAAACUCGUGAAAGGCUGUGAAAGAAGAGGAGAUCAAAUCAGCAGCUCCACCGGCUCUCGAAGAACAUGUGUUGGCUGAGCCCAAAGCGGCCGCUGAGGACAAGCAGCUGAGCGGCGGAGUGGGAGCUGGAGAUCCUGACAUUUCAUAUGUGAUUGCAAAGAUUUACGUCAGGCGAGCGCAGAAGUCUCCAUCAACUGUGGCGGACCCGAGGGACGAUGGAGCAAUCACAUUAUAUCUGCUGUCACACAAAGUCACUGUCAAGGUGUGCUGCUGGUGGAGGAGAGGAGCAGCGCAUGUGACGGCGGAGACUCGGAAAUACCUCAGCUUCAUCUCGCCCCCGCUGUCCCCCCACCCGCACCCGGUUACAAGUCUAGCAAAGGUGACGUUGACCGAACCUGAGGCUCCUGCUGUUUGGGUUCUGCACCGACCAACUGGGAAAAGAUCUGAAGUGGACCACUUCACCCGGAGCCAUUGCCAUGGAGGAUUUUGCUCCGAUGACCGGGCCAGGUCCUGUGGCAGAACCACCAAAGGCCUGCGGCGCCUUUUAUCUUCAUACGAGUCCAUUUAAAGACUCGUAUGCCAUCUUAAUGAACAUUGUACGGCAUCUUGUCAUCGUAAUGAACAUUGUACAGCACCAGACUACGUGAUAAAUGUUGCCCACUCGAUAGCCUUUGCAGCCUGGUCAUCCUGGAAAGGGAAUCCCCCCCAUCUGCGGUCCCUUUUCGUUUAAUUUUUUCCCCAAAUGGGGCUUUGAGUUUUUCCUUGCCCAAUUGGGGGGUUUAGAUUAGGGGAUGUCGUCAAUCAUUGCCAACUG
Phyllopteryx taeniolatus (common seadragon) is the source of this 874-nucleotide long non-coding RNA. RefSeq lists it as uncharacterized. The transcript is spliced from 4 exons. NCBI's taxonomy places the organism in Eukaryota, Metazoa, Chordata, Actinopteri, Syngnathiformes, Syngnathidae. The record is from RefSeq and is a predicted model, not a curated record.